UUUGGUCAAGCAGCUGCAGGACUACAAUCCCAGCAUGCAGCAGGCUCCAGGGCUUUGCGCAGCUCUGGAAAGAGGAGCAAAGUGGUCCGCAUCCCACCUAGUCAUAUGCUGGGAGCUCUAGUCCCUCAACUGCUCUCAGCCUGUUUGUCGGUAGGCUUUAGAACUAUAAUCCCAGCAUGUCCCGGGAUCUGGAGUGCAUAGCCCUGCAGGGAGGGGCAGACCGGUGUUGACUUCUUGAUGUACAAAGUACUGCUGGGCUCUGAAUCCAUACCGACUCUUUGCCAAGGAUAGGUUCUUUCCAGAGCAUUGUGUCUUCUGCAGCCCAGGGCGCUGCUUCUUUCCUAAACUGUUGGGGAAACUGCCCUGGUAUCCGAGACACUCUCCAUUGUGCCACAACCCUCUUUUUUCUCUAGCCAGAGCGCGUGCUCAACUGCUUUUGAGAGAAAUCUUCCACCUGGCCUGAUUAUGAACAGCUUCAGAGCUCUGUAGAGCAGUGACCAGGACUGUGACUUCCUGGAAAUGUCACUCUCAAUGGCGGUUUUUUCAUGAAUGUG
Molecule: long non-coding RNA, 554 nt
Organism: Cebus imitator (Panamanian white-faced capuchin)
Lineage: Eukaryota; Metazoa; Chordata; Mammalia; Primates; Cebidae
Exons: 2
Source: RefSeq, a predicted model, not a curated record